AGUGAACGCUGGCGGUAGGCCUAACACAUGCAAGUCGAACGGCAGCACAGUAAGAGCUUGCUCUUACGGGUGGCGAGUGGCGGACGGGUGAGGAAUACAUCGGAAUCUACUUUUUCGUGGGGGAUAACGUAGGGAAACUUACGCUAAUACCGCAUACGACCUACGGGUGAAAGCAGGGGAUCUUCGGACCUUGCGCGAUUGAAUGAGCCGAUGUCGGAUUAGCUAGUUGGCGGGAUAAAGGCCCACCAAGGCGACGAUCCGUAGCUGGUCUGAGAGGAUGAUCAGCCACACUGGAGCUGAGACACGGUCCAGACUCCUACGGGAGGCAGCAGUGGGGAAUAUUGGACAAUGGGCGCAAGCCUGAUCCAGCCAUACCGCGUGGGUGAAGAAGGCCUUCGGGUUGUAAAGCCCUUUUGUUGGGAAAGAAAAGCAGCAGGUUAAUACCCCGCUGUUCUGACGGUACCCAAAGAAUAAGCACCGGCUAACUUCGUG
Molecule: ribosomal RNA, 492 nt
Filed under: uncultured bacterium
Lineage: Bacteria
Description: partial 16S ribosomal RNA
Rfam family: Bacterial small subunit ribosomal RNA
Source: RNAcentral